CCGGGAGCACCGGUGUCUUGUGCAGCAUGGCGGGCGGCGGAGGCCCGGGCCUGUGGUACCCGGCCUGUCCUCGGGCUCUUCCAGGUGCGAACCCCGCGGUCUGUCCACCCCGUCGGUGCGGAGCGGGGCGCCCGGCUGACGGCGCCGGUCCCUUGCCGGGUACGGUGGGCCACCUGGCCUGGUCUGCGCGGCCGCUCGCGUUCGCGUUCCCGCGCGCUCGGGGUUUAAAAUAAUCUGCAGAUCCUGAACUGCUCGAGCUCGGGGGACAACAGCGCUUGGCGGCCCUUAGUUAAAGGCCUGCGCCUCGGAACGCAUAGAAGUGCGGGGAGGAGCAGCCGCUCCCGGCGGCAGCUUUCGCUGGACCAUGCACUGUGGCUGGUGUUCCUUUUGUGUCCACCAGAAGAGCAACGGUGCAACCUGUUUCAGGCUUAAGUGCAACAAAACCUGUCUCUCUUGAAGGUGCUUGAACAAAUGUUUUCCAGAAACUUGUCACAGAACGCGAUUUAAAUAAACCACCAGGAUGGCAGUUGCCAGUAACAAGGUACAGGUGUUAAGCAUAUAGGUUGCUGCAGGUGAAAGUCCCACCUCAGGAGCUGUGAUGUUUAUGAAUGCUUCAUUGCUUCAGGUACAGCACACAUUGUGGAUGGUGAAAUGAAGAAUUGGUCAAGAAUCCGUGAACAGAAGCAAAUGAUGAAUUAGUAUUUUAUUUGAUAGUAAUCAACAAUAAAUUAUGUAGAAAUAAACAGCUAACUGUUGUGGGCAGUAAUUUCUUUAAAAUGUAUGUCUUUUGAGCUUCAUUCUCAAUAGUAAAGUGCUCACCUUUCAUGAGCUUCAUUUUACUGAUCAACAGAACAGAUUGCUAGUACAGUAGCCGGGUACACUGUAGGAAGUCACUUGACAAGUCUGAAACGAUUUCCUCAAGACUUAACAGUUUUAGCCUCUUGAGUUCCUGGGUUUAGUAAAUAGCAUAAGAACACAUCAACAUUCUGAUAACUUGGGGGCAUUUAAAAGCCUUUGUAUUAAGGGCUGAGGAAGUGGUUGCUUAACUGGCACAAGA
Long non-coding RNA from Chionomys nivalis (European snow vole), 1057 nucleotides. RefSeq lists it as uncharacterized. The transcript has 4 exons. The record is from RefSeq and is a predicted model, not a curated record. NCBI's taxonomy places the organism in Eukaryota, Metazoa, Chordata, Mammalia, Rodentia, Cricetidae.